GUACGAGCGCACCCCUAUCCUUAGUUACCAUCGAGUAAAGUCGGGGACUCUAGGGAGACUGCCGGUGAUAAACCGGAGGAAGGCGGGGAUGAGGUCAAGUCAUCAUGGCCCUUAUGGGGAGGGCCACACACGUGCUACAAUGGCCGGUACAGAGGGCAGCGAAGCCGCGAGGUGGAGCGAAUCUCAGAAAACCGGUCGUAGUCCGGAUUGCAGUCUGCAACUCGACUGCAUGAAGCCGGAAUCGCUAGUAAUCGCGGAUCAGAACGCCGCGGUGAAUACGUUCCCGGGCCUUGUACACACCGCCCGUCACACCAUGGGAGUGGGCUGUACCAGAAGUAGGUAGUCUAACCUUCGGGAGGACGCUUACCACGGUGUGGUUCAUGACUGGGGUGAAGUCGUAACAAGGUAGCCCUAGGGGAACCUGGGGCUGGAUCA
RNAcentral lists this ribosomal RNA (435 nucleotides) under uncultured Thiotrichales bacterium. RNAcentral's name for it is "bacterial SSU rRNA". It matches the Rfam family "Bacterial small subunit ribosomal RNA", at positions 1090 to 1525 of the family's 1533-position model. Lineage: Bacteria; Pseudomonadati; Pseudomonadota; Gammaproteobacteria; Thiotrichales. The record is from RNAcentral.